GGGGUCGUAGCUCAGUUGGUAGAGCGCCUGCUUUGCAAGCAGGAUGUCACCGGUUCGAAUCCGGUCGGCUCCACCA
This 76-nucleotide transfer RNA is filed under the name Ereboglobus luteus. RNAcentral describes it as "tRNA-Ala". It matches the Rfam family "tRNA". From Rfam's summary of the family: Transfer RNA (tRNA) molecules are approximately 80 nucleotides in length. Lineage: Bacteria; Pseudomonadati; Verrucomicrobiota; Opitutia; Opitutales; Opitutaceae. The record is from RNAcentral.